Molecule: long non-coding RNA, 292 nt
Filed under: Elaeis guineensis (African oil palm)
Lineage: Eukaryota; Viridiplantae; Streptophyta; Magnoliopsida; Arecales; Arecaceae
Description: long non-coding RNA (EGUI_LNC073962)
Source: RNAcentral
GGGUCCCUUUCUAUAGAUGGAGAGCGUAACUGAUUGACAGCGACAUCUGUAACCACCUGAUAGUGGGCCGUUCAAGGCCACGCGGAGUUUGUUAUGGAGAGUAGUGGCAUCAGGGGCCGUUCAGGACCACAUGGAGUUUGUUACGGAGAGUGGAGUGGUAUCCGUUGUCAUGACUUGCCAGAGAGUGGUGGAGCCAUGCAGAAUCUGUUAUAGAGUGUGGAGUAGGGUAGUGGCCAUUGUCGUGACUUGCCAGAGAGUUCGAAUCUAUCGGUUGAAGCUCAGCUGGGAUGUC